UACGUAGGGCGCAAGCGUUGUCCGGAAUUAUUGGGCGUAAAGAGCUCGUAGGCGGCUUGUCACGUCGAUUGUGAAAGCUCGGGGCUUAACCCCGAGUCUGCAGUCGAUACGGGCUAGCUAGAGUGUGGUAGGGGAGAUCGGAAUUCCUGGUGUAGCGGUGAAAUGCGCAGAUAUCAGGAGGAACACCAGCGGCGAAGGCGGCGCUCUGGGCCGGUACUGACACUGAGGAGCGAAAGCGUGGGUAGCAAACAGG
RNAcentral lists this ribosomal RNA (253 nucleotides) under uncultured bacterium. RNAcentral's name for it is "partial 16S ribosomal RNA". It matches the Rfam family "Bacterial small subunit ribosomal RNA", at positions 524 to 776 of the family's 1533-position model. The record is from RNAcentral.